This 63-nucleotide transfer RNA is filed under the name Pollicipes pollicipes. RNAcentral describes it as "tRNA-Arg". Lineage: Eukaryota; Metazoa; Arthropoda; Thecostraca; Pollicipedomorpha; Pollicipedidae. The record is from RNAcentral.
GAAUAAAAAACGAAUUAUUGUAGUCGGUUUCGACCCGAUCCCUGGUCCCUAGACCUUUAUUCU